CUUUACUUGUGCGGGUCAAGGUCACUUAGACAAGCACUUCUGCGAAUGUACGACGAACAGUCAGAAUAAGUUGGCAACAAAAUGUGGACCCGGCAAUUCUCUCAAAAACUAUUUGCGCUUGUUCGAUCAAGCACAUCACCUUACUCGUGCAGGAAUGCACAUGCACAGAAAUCUGAGGUGUCAGAUCGGUUUGUGCAAGCCCUGUCUGAUGUUGUCGGAGGUUCAAAUGUUUCCACUGCAAUGGCAGUGAGAGAACAGCAUGGGAGGGACGAGUCGUAUCAUGAAUGCUCCCCACCAGAUGUUGUUGUGUUUGCUGAGAGCACGGAGCAUGUGAGCCAGAUUGCCAAGCUGUGUAAUGAUAAUGAGGUCCCGCUCAUCCCCUUUGGCACAGGGACAGGCUUGGAAGGAGGGAUCAAUGCUUUCAGGGGUGGCGUGACUCUGGAUCUGAGUAAGAUGGAUAAGAUACUGUCAGUGCAUCAGGAGGACUUUGAUGCAGAAGUAGAGGCAGGGGUGUCACGUCAAGGGUUAAACGCCUACCUUCGUGACACAGGAUUGAUGUUCCCAAUUGAUCCGGGAGCAGACGCCUCUCUGUGUGGAAUGUGUGCCACCAGUGCGUCAGGCACCAAUGCAGUGAGGUACGGGACGAUGAGGGAGAACGUCCUCAACAUGGAGGUCGUGAUGGCAGACGGCAGAGUUAUAAACACAGCUGGGAAGGGCAGACGUACAAAGAAGACAUCUGCAGGCUACAACCUGACGAACCUGUUUGUGGGCUCCGAGGGCACCCUGGGCAUCAUCACCAAGGCCACACUACGUCUCUAUGGCAUACCUGAAGCAACCGUUUCGGCCGUGGUCCACUUUGAGACAGUCCAGGGGGCAGUGGACACGACUGUCAACGUCCUGCAGUGUGGCAUCCCCAUGGCCAGAAUAGAAUUCUUGGAUGAAGUUACUAUUGAUGCCUUCAACAAGUACAGCAAGUUUGACAUGAAAGUGGCGCCCUCUCUCUUCCUGGAGUUCCACGGGCCUGCCAGUGGCCUGGAUAACCAAGUCAGUGUUGUGGAGGAACUGUGUCAGAUGAAUGGCGGCUCGGACUUCCGCUGGGCCAAGGAUGCUGAAGAGAGAAACAGACUGUGGAGGGCCAGGCAUGACAUCAUCUAUGCGUGUAUGGCUCUGAAACCAGGAUCAAAGCCCUAUUCAACUGAUGUCUGCGUGCCCAUCUCCAGACUGCCUGAAGUCAUCCUCAAGUCUAAGGAUUUCAUCAAUGAAGCGGGAGUAAUAGGCCCCAUAGUUGGGCAUGUAGGAGACGGCAAUUUCCACGUCUUCUUCCCAGUUGACCGCACUGACCCUGAAGACGUUCAAAAGGUCAAGGACGUUGCUGUUAAAAUGGCCAAACUCGGUCUGUCUAUGGAUGGGACUUGCACAGGGGAGCAUGGUAUAGGCAUCGGCAAGAGGAUGUUGCUUCGGGAGGAGAUCGGCGAUACAACUCUAGGGGUCAUGCAGCAACUCAAGACAACCUUUGACCCAAAGGGUAUACUUAACCCUGGCAAGGUCUUGGUUUAAGGACAUAAUUCCACAGACUGAAGAAUAGUCAACAGAACUCAGUCUUGUCAAUCGAUGAAUAAUGAACUGAGGUGAAAAUUUAAAUAGUAAACUUGUUGUUGACUUAUGACACAAUUGUACAAUAAGCAAUGAUUUCAAAUGAUAUUGUAUCAUAUACUUGGGAUUACUUUAUACAGGUUUGUCAUCAUACAUGCUCGGCACGUGUAGACUCAUAGUGGAUCGAAUAUCCAUCAUGUGGACAUAUGAUGACAAAGUAGUGGUAUAUGUUGGUUGUUGUCAUGAGUCAGCUGAUAAUGUAACUGAAACCACUCAAAUAUUCAGUUCACUUGUACCUGACUGUAUUAGAUAUUUUGUGAGAACAGUUUGAAUAUUUAUAGGAUAUAUUUGCCACAUUUGUAUUUACUGGUUUUUGUUAAUACUGACAAAGUAUGUGGAUGCAUGAUAUGUGCCUUAUCAGUUAUAAGCCACUCCAAACGGUGGUUUCUGCAGACAAUAAAUGGCAGUUUUUUCGUCUCCCUGCAAAUCGCUGCACGGUGAUCCAGAUAGCUGCAUGUUUGGGUCAGAUGUGAGUUGCUUGUUGACGUAAACACGUUAGAACUUACAAACUCAAACGUUUAACUACACACUACAUUAUUGCCCAAUGUGGCCUUGGAUUCCUGUAUUUGUUUGCAGACCUUUAUUUAGUGAUUGAACACAGCCCCACCUGUACAUGAACCUCUGCUUACAUGGGUUCCAACAGGGUACUGAAGGUCUGCAACUUGCCUCACAUGCAGUUGUAUAACUGAAUUAAGUACACUCAUUAAGUUUGUUAUGCUUUAUUCUUUAUGGCAUCAGUUUUCUGGAAUGUAUUCAUUGUUUGUUACAGACUGCUCAUGAUGUUCUGUGAUGGUGGUUUUGUGUGUUGGUGGUAUUAUAUUCUUUCUUUGUAUGGCUUUUUCUUUUGGCUUUGGGGAAAUACAGGUUGGAAAACAGUGAAAUACUCCACAGUUAAUUGCAGCAUAAAUACCUCACUGAUACACUCAGGAGAUCUCAGAUAUUAAACACACAAAAGAGAUAUAGUGAAGGAUUUGUUUUCGGGUUGUGAGAUAUUGAACUCCUGUAAUGAAGCAUUUAGUCUCGAUGUGUGAGAAACAUGAUAGCGAUAUUGCAAAGUAUUUGUGAGACUAAGGACAUGGCCUACCUUCAGCUCGUAGACAUGCCCUUCAGUCCAUCUACCUCUGUAGCAUGCAUAAAAUAACUCAUUCAUGGAGACAGGUACUCCAUUACGUUUAACAUGUCAUGUGUAGAUACACAAUCAGGUUGGCAACAAUUUUAUGUGGUGCCUUUAUGUGGUGAGCUCAGGAUUUGACAAGUAUGCUGGUCAAGUGAGAUGAGUAUAUUGGUCCCCAAGACAAGUAUGCUGGUCCGCUAGACAAGUAUGUUGGUCAAGUGAGAUGAGUAUAUUGGUCCCCAAGACAAGUAUGCUGGUCCGCAAGACAAGUAUGUUGGUCAAGUGAGAUGAGUAUAGGUCUGCUGGACAAGUAUGCUGGUCUGCUGGACAAGUAUGCUGGUCAAGUGAGAUGAGUAUAUUGGUCCGCUAGACAAGUAUGCUGGUCAAGUGAGAUGAGUAUAUUGGUCCGCUAGACAAGUAUGCUGGUCCGCAAGACAAGUAUGCUGGUCAAGUGAGAUGAGUAUAUUGGUCCGCUAGACAAGUAUGCUGGUCCGCAAGACAAGUAUGCUGGUCAAGUGAGAUGAGUAUAUUGGUCCGCUAGACAAGUAUGCUGGUCAAGUGAGAUGAGUAUAUUGGUCCGCUGGACAAGUAUGCUGGUCCGUUAGACAAGUAUGCUGGUCAAGUGAGAUAAGUAUUGGUCCACUAGACAAGUAUGCUGGUCAAGUGAGAUAAGUAUUGGUCCACUAGACAAGUAUGCUGGUCAAGUGAGAUAAGUAUUGGUCCACUAGACAAGUAUGCUGGUCAAGUGAGAUGAGUAUAUUGGUCGGCUAGACAAGUAUGCUGGUCCGUUAGACAAGUACGUUGGUCAAGUGAGAUGAGUAUUGGUCCGCUAGACAAGUAUGCUGGUCCGCUAGACAAGUAUGCUGGUCAAGUGAGAUGAGUAUAUUGGUCCGCUAGACAAGUAUGUUGGUCGGCUAGACAAGUACGUUGGUCAAGUGAGAUGAGUAUUGGUCCGCUAGACAAGUAUGCUGGUCCGCUAGACAAGUAUGCUGGUCAAGUGAGAUGAGUAUAUUGGUCCGCUAGACAAGUAUGUUGGUCAAGUGAGAUAAGUAUUGGUCCGCUAGACAAGUAUGCUGGUCAGGUGAGAUAAGUAUAGGUCUGCUGGACAAAUAUGCUGGUCAAGUGAGAUGAGUAUUGGUCCACUAGACAAGUAUGCUGGUCAGGUGAGAUGAGUAUAGGACUGCUUGACAAGUAUGCUCGUCAAGUGAGAUGAGUAUAUUGGUCCACUAGACAAGUAUGCUGGUCAGGUGAGAUGAGUAUAGGUCUGCUGGACAAGUAUGCUGGUCCAUCAGACAAACACUAGUAAUGGUAAAUAUUAAUUAGGACCAGUAACUUGAAAUCAAGGCUGUCCAAAUUGCUUGUGCUAAAUAUGAAAGUGACUUUUUGUUUUUGAAAAGAAUGAAAGAACAGUAAUUGAUAGAGUAUGUGUGCAAAAACGAUGAUAAUGUGGCACAAUUGUUUUAACCAAAUGCUUUGCUAUCUAACACAUUUUCUAUGGGACCAGUGAUUUUCCUGUGACAUGUGCCCUGUUGCCCAUGAAACAGGUGAGACCCUGUGAUCUCCAGGGACGUGCUGUUCAAUCAAUCAUGGGCACAAGCACAGCUAAGUCAUGUGCAUGCAGCUCAAAUAUUAUUCCAAGCAUGUUAAACAGUACCGCUAUGUCAUCAUCAGGGUGACUUUGUACACAUGAAAUCAUAAGGUCACCUUUAUAUCACAAAAAAAGUUCUAUUACAAAACAAACAAUUUCGUUGGUCGGAUGAAUUUUGGUUGUUGAUUAUCCAACCACUCCAGCCCAAAUUCACAAUUUUACUAAUUAAAAUAAAGAAGAAGUGCAUGUUAAGAAUGAAAUAAAUCACAAUCGUCACUGCUGGUCAUCAGGGCAGUUUACAUCAAAAAGUGCAAUUAUGGAAUGGAUUAUAACUAUGGCCAAAAUAUAUACAGUCAAACACCGUUGUGUUGAAGUUGAAGGGACCUACGUAAAUAGUUCGACUUAUCUGAGGUUUGACACAACCGAAAAUGAUAUAUAAAGAAGGAAAGAGGGACCAAGCUUUUUCUAUAAGACAACCAUACGUUUGACACAUUAAAGUUCAACACAGCUGUGUUUGACUUUAGAUAAAACUGUAAAGUAUGUAAAACUAGAAAACUAGAGUUGUGAUUAUUUUAUGGUAGGUAAAUGUUUCUGGUAAUUUCACUUUACUUCUGUAUUUUCCUUGGUCCCAUAGUUGACAAUAGUUGAGGGUACUUAAUCAUGUUGUGUCAGUGUGUGCUGAAACAUGGAAACCAGCUGUAAAUGGGAUUCCUACUUUGUCAACAACUUCAUGAUCUCACAGUCUACUUGGAUGUAUAGAAUUAAUAUUGUGUCAUGUUAAUAGGUUUGCAAAGUUGUCAUUUGAACGACAAAAAUCUUUUCCCGUGUUAGGUCACUUAUCUUACAGACUUUUUUUUCGCAUUUUCCCACAAACUGUAGGAUCUGUUUUUGAUUGAAAUAGAAUUCGAAAAACAAAAUUGAUUUUCACAUGAUCACAUUAAUAAGAGACUUUUUUCUCCUUAUUUACCAAUUUCAAAGUGUUUUUCAUAACUGCAAUUUGUUAACGGAUAGAGAGGAAAAAUUCUUUUGUGAAAUAUUAGGUUGAUGAAUGAGUAUGAAGUACCGGUAAUAUAAAACCAAAUGCCCCAACAUGUCAAGUCAGUAUUGAUGAUGUUGAUUGAAAACUGCUUGGCUGAUACGAUAGUUACAGAAGCAUGGCCCUGAGAUCUGUUGUAUUUAGUCUUUGCUAUUGUUAAUCCCAACUCAACUAAUAGGAUCUUCAUAGUUGCCUGCCAAUGAAUCAUUCAUGUAUCAUAAUCAUUACAUUCCUUAUUGGUAUAGUACCACUGCGAUAGCACUCCUUUCAAAUACUCUGCUUUAAUUAAAUAUUUCUGUAUGAUUCUUUAAAUACCAGUACUGUAAAAUGAAAUUAAAGUUAAAAUUUGUUAAAAGGUUGUGCUGAUGUCAAGAAAUGUGAAUCGACGCAUGUGACUUCAAAUAGAGCUUUUGAAAAUAGGAAUGUGUUCCCGGACAGCUCUUCACUUUGUAAAUGUUGGUAUA
This 5855-nucleotide unclassified non-coding RNA is filed under the name Haliotis rufescens (red abalone). RNAcentral's name for it is "probable D-lactate dehydrogenase, mitochondrial, transcript variant X2". The record is from RNAcentral. Lineage: Eukaryota; Metazoa; Mollusca; Gastropoda; Lepetellida; Haliotidae.